UUCCGGUUGAUCCUGCCGGACCUGACUGCUAUCGGAUUGAUACUAAGCCAUGCGAGUCAUUGUAGCAAUACAAGGCAGACGGCUCAGUAACGCGUAGUCAACCUACCCUAUGGACGGGAAUAACCUCGGGAAACUGAGUAUAAUGCCCGAUAGAACACUAUACCUGGAAUGGUUUGUGUUUCAAAUGAUUUAUUGCCAUAGGAUGGGACUGCGGCCUAUCAGUUUGUUGGUGAGGUAAUGGCCCACCAAGACUAUUACAGGUACGGGCUCUGAGAGGAGUGGCCCGGAGAUGGGUACUGAGACACGGACCCAGGCCCUAUGGGGCGCAGCAGGCGAGAAAACUUUGCAAUGUGCGAAAGCACGACAAGGUUAAUCCGAGUGGUUUCUGCUAAAGGAACCUUUUGACAGUCCUAGAAACACUGUUGAAUAAGGGGUGGGCAAGUUCUGGUGUCAGCCGCCGCGGUAAAACCAGCACCUCAAGUGGUCAGGAUGAUUAUUGGGCCUAAAGCAUCCGUAGCCGGCUCAGUAAGUUUUCGGUUAAAUCUGUACGCUCAACGUACAGGCUGCCGGGAUACUGCAGAGCUAGGGAGUGGGAGAGGUAGACGGUACUCGGGAGGAAGUGGUAAAAUGCUUUGAUCUUUCGAUGACCACCUGUGGCGAAGGCGGUCUACCAGAACACGUCCGACGGUGAGGGAUGAAAGCUGGGGGAGCAAACCGGAUUAGAUACCCGGGUAGUCCCAGCUGUAAACUAUGCAAACUCAGUGAUGCAUUGGCUUGUGGACAAUGCAGUGUUGCAGGGAAGCCGUUAAGUUUGCCGCCUGGAAGUACGUACGCAAGUAUGAAACUUAAAGGAAUUGGCGGGGGAGCAUACAAGGGUGAAGCUGCGUUCAAUUGAAUCAACGC
Molecule: ribosomal RNA, 903 nt
Filed under: uncultured archaeon
Lineage: Archaea
Description: bacterial SSU rRNA
Rfam family: Archaeal small subunit ribosomal RNA
Source: RNAcentral